GUUGCUAGGAUUACAGGCAUGUGCCACUGCACUUGGCCCAACCUAUAGGCUUCUGAUAGUAGUGUUUAUGUGACCUUGCAAAAGUGACUUAGCUCUCUGAGCUUCACUUUCCUAUCUGUAAAAUGGAGAUAGAGGACUUAAUAGGUUGGUUAAAGGCUUUGGUAAUGUAUAUAAAGCUGUUAGCACAGUGCCUAGACACAUUUUUAUUACUAAUAGUAUUUUACACAAUGAUUUUUUUUUUUUUUUUAAAGCAGGAAAUAGUUGACAAAUACUUUAGAGUCAGCACAGUUGUCAUUGUGUCCAAAUGAUAGAAACAGCCCUGGUGGUGAGAGCCAGCACAUAGGAGGAAGUUACAACAAAAGCAAGGCACUGUCCUGCCUAAUGGAAAAUUUGUACACAGCAGGAGUUCCAUUCAGAAUCCCAGAAUUUUUGGGGGGAUGGACCUUAGUCUCAACACCAUCAGUAAAGUGAGUUGAAUGAGCAGUUUCCCAGUAAAUUUCACCUGUGACUAAUCAUACCUCCUUAUUUGUCUGGGGCCAUUUAUUGAUAUUGUCACCUUUGAGGCCCUGCAUCUUUGUAAAGUGCCUCUUGAAUUUUUUAGAUUGCUUUUACCACCACUGCAGGAAGUUUUUCAGAUAGUAUUCAUUUCCUUGCUACCAUGUGAGGAAACUGAGGCCCAUCAAGGUUAAGUGAGUUGCCCAAAGUCAUACUGUGACUUACUGUUAAAGCUAGCGCACAUUUGCCUCCAGAUGAAAUUGCGUUUGUUUAUUGCUGUGAUUUCUCUUUCCUUGAGUGGGAGAUGUGUAGUCAUUGCAGAACUGCAGUCUGAUACAUGCCUUGUCCAUAUCUUUGAGGCUUCAUUUGAGUCCUACUGUAUCUCUUUGGUUCGUUUGGGUUUUAAUGUUUGAUGACUGCUAGGACCAGACCUGUUGGGAAGCAGAUUCCCUUUGGGUUGUUGUUUUUAGCCUUUUCUCCUUUGGGGACAUUCCUUGGGGAGCCUUGGGUUACAAGAGAUUGCUUUGAUAUGUUCAAAAUUGUGCCUUGUGCCCCACAGCUACAGGUAAAAUCAAAAGGCAGAUAAUUUAUGGGAGUGUCAAAGCUGGCCGCUGGCACCUCGGGAGGCCAUUAGUAUGCCUGUUCAGACCCUCUGUGUCCUUGCAAUUGAUUCCUCUUUGCAUGAGCCUGAUUUGGGAAGCUGUAGAUCUGUGGGUAGUGAUUGGAUGUGACAGUCCAAACACCGGUCCCUAAAUUAAUCCUUUUAAUGGUAUUCUGGCACCAAGGCAAUUUCUCUUUCUCUCUCUCUCUCAACUGGGGAGGACAGAAUGGGGUGGACUGGGAGAAGAAUAGAAAGGAAGGAAGGAAAGAAAGAAAGAAAGAACCUUUGUUUGGUGCCUGGGUCAUGCUCUGUUUUGGCAUGUUCUAAUUCCAGAGCAGUGGACUUUGGGCAUAUUAAUUCAUUCAGCAAACUCAUACUUAACUUUGUGCCUGACCCUGUGCUGGAUACUGGGAAUACAGAAAUGAACAAAAUGUAGUCCUUGCACCUAAGGGUCUAACUCAGUGUUUCUCAAGCUUUUAAAACUCUUUCACCAUUUAGAUUUAAAAAAUAAAUCUCACUGGGCGCGGUGUACACAUCUGUAAUCCCAGUGGCUAGGGAGACUGAGACAGGAGGAUCACGAAAUCAAAGCCAGCCUCAGCAAUUUAGUGAGGCGCCAAGCAACUCAGUGAGACCCUAUUUCUAAAUAAAAUUCAAAAUAGGGCUGGGGAUGUAACUCAGUAGUCGAGUGCCCCUAAAUUCAAUCCCUGGUACCAUAAAUAAACAAACAAAUAAGUAAAUAAAUAAAUCUCAUGCCCUUCUUUAAUGCUGUAUAUGAAAUUUUAAAAUACAUGAAGGAGUCUCAAAGUCAAGGCAUUAGCAUAUCUGAUAUGCUUUCUUUUUACAUAAACAUGCACACAUAUGCCUAUAUAUAGCUAUUUUCUAUUCUUAACUCCUUGAAAAUCAUUACUAGAAGGAAAACAGAUACCUAACAUAGAGAAAAGUUACAAAAUAAGAAUAAACUGCGUUACUGAAUAAUAAGCAAUUAACUUUCUGAUGGGUUAUCAGAGCUAUUAAAAGAGGGAGAUUUGAACUGGGUUUUGGAGAAGGGUUGAUAAUUUGCCUAGUGAAAAAUAGAGGGGCAUUCCAAUAUAGAGGGAGUAGCAUUUGCAAAAGUUCAGAUUUGGAAAAGGAAAUGUCACAUUUGGGGACCUGGGCAAGAGCUGAUUGUAACCUUCCUCCUGCCAGUUUCUCACUCUGUAAGGUGGGAAGAUUUGCACCUCUGGAAUUGUAUUUGAGAAGGAGCUUUGAGUUCUCCAUUGUGUUUUAAUUCAAGACAUCCCUUCCUGUUCCUACUUUUGUGCUCAGGGCUGUAAUUUGUUUUUCUUUUUAAAAUUAUUAUGAAAUCAAAUUUGGUUGAUUUAGGUUUAAUCACUGCCUAAGUUUGAGUUACUUCUGGUUAAAAUCACACCUUACUUAAAAAGAAAAAUUGGGGCUGGGGCAGUGGUAGAGUGUUGCCUAGCAUGCACAAAGCCCUGGGUUCAAUUCCCGGCACCAAAAAAAAAAAAAAAGUUAGAUUUUUCUGGGCAUGGUGGUGCACAUCUGUAAUCCCAGCAGUUUGGGAGUCUGAGGCAGAAGGAUUGCAAAUUCAAAGCCAGCCUCAGCAACUUAGUGAGGCCCUAAGAGACCUAGGGAGACCCUGUCUCAUAAUAAAAAGACCUGGGGAUGUGGCUCAGUGGAAAAGUACCUUGGAUUCAACAGCUGGUACAAAAAAAAAAAAAAAAAAAAGAUAAAGAAAGAAAGAAAAAUUAAAAUUGAUAUGCAUUGUUAGCCCUGUGACCGAUGGAGAAUCUGUCAAGUGUGGAAAUGUGGGCCAUCAAACAUGGUAGAGGAAACUAAGAGUACCCAAAGAGUUUGGUACCUUUUAUCCUUAGUUUCCUCAGGUGUAAAAUGGAAAUAGUGUUAACUAUUUUUGCUUGACAUUUGGUAGGAUUAAAUGAGAUUAAGAUCUAUAAAUCACCAACACAGAAAAUGGUGUUUCCCUUUCCUCUUUCUCAUGUUUUAACUGUAGCUCCCUUUUAUUGAGCACUUACUAUCAUGCAGAGCAUUGUACGUACAUUAUUUGAUUGAAUUGAACCCAAGAUAUUGGUAUUAUUUUAGCUAUUAUUACAAAGAAUAUGCAGUAGAGUCAGGAUUUGAACCUAGAUUUUUCUGACCCAAGUGUUUUAACAACUAGAUUGUAUGGCUGUGCUUCAACACCAGUUCUCCAUCUUGAAAGCAAGAGCCUAGAAAAUAUUUAAACAGUAUGAUCAUCCCUUUAAGUACCUCCCAUCCUAUAGACAAUAUCUACAGAACAGCAAUAUC
This 3397-nucleotide long non-coding RNA is filed under the name Marmota monax (woodchuck). Lineage: Eukaryota; Metazoa; Chordata; Mammalia; Rodentia; Sciuridae. The record is from RNAcentral.